Molecule: ribosomal RNA, 1356 nt
Filed under: uncultured bacterium
Lineage: Bacteria
Description: bacterial SSU rRNA
Rfam family: Bacterial small subunit ribosomal RNA
Source: RNAcentral
ACGAACGUUGGCGGCGUGGAUUAGGCAUGCAAGUCGAGCGAGGACAGGGGGCAACUCCUGAGCCGAGCGGCGUAAGGGGCAGUAAUGCGUGGGUAACGUACCCCCGGGACUGGAAUAGCCACGGGAAACUGUGGGUAAUACCGGGCGACGUAACGACGGGGCAUCUCGUUGUUACCAAAUGAAUUUCGCCUGGGGAGCGGCUCACGUGGUAUUAGCUAGUUGGUAGGGUAACGGCCUACCAAGGCGAAGAUGCCUAGCGGGUGUGAGAGCACGACCCGCGCCAUUGGCACUGAGACACUGGCCAGACACCUACGGGUGGCUGCAGUCGAGGAUCUUCGGCAAUGGGCGCAAGCCUGACCGAGCGACGCCGCGUGCGGGAUGAAGGCCUUCGGGUUGUAAACCGCUGUCGUGGGGGAGAAAGGCGCAAGCUUGAUCUAUCCCAGGAGGAAGCACGGGCUAAGUUCGUGCCAGCAGCCGCGGUAAGACGAACCGUGCAAACGUUGUUCGGAAUCACUGGGCUUAAAGGGCGCGUAGGCGGCUUAGCAAGUCGGGGGUGAAAUCUUUCGGCUCAACCGGAAAAGGGCCUUCGAUACUGCUAAGCUCGAGGAGGGUAGGGGUCACGGGAACGACCAGUGGAGCGGUGAAAUGCGUUGAGAUUGGUAGGAACGCCGGUGGCGAAAGCGCGUGACUGGACCCUCCCUGACGCUGAGGCGCGAAAGCUAGGGGAGCAAACGGGAUUAGAUACCCCGGUAGUCCUAGCCCUAAACGAUGGGUACUAGGCGGUGGACUUGACAUGGGUUCACCGCCGAAGCAAAAGUGCUAAGUACCCCGCCUGGGGAGUAUGGUCGCAAGGCUGAAACUCAAAGGAAUUGACGGGGGCUCACACAAGCGGUGGAGCAUGUGGCUUAAUUCGAGGCUACGCGAAGAACCUUAUCCUGGGCUUGACAUGUGCGAAAGCGGCAGGAAGUACCCAGCGGAAACGUUUGGGGAACGGUAUCCAAUCCGGAACCUGCUACAGGUGCUGCAUGGCUGUCGUCAGCUCGUGUCGUGAGAUGUCGGGUUAAGUCCCAUAACGAGCGAAACCCUUGCUCCUAGUUGCCAACGUAAAGUCGGGGACUCUAGGAGGACUGCCGGUGUUAAACCGGAGGAAGGCGGGGAUGACGUCAAGUCCUCAUGGCCUUUAUGCCCAGGGCUGCACACGUGCUACAAUGCGGCAUACAAAGGGAAGCGAACGCGCGAGCGGGAGCCAAUCCCAAAAAAUGCCGCCCAGUUCAGAUUGAAGGCUGCAACUCGCCUUCAUGAAGCCGGAAUCGCUAGUAAUCGCGGAUCAGCAACGCCGCGGUGAAUGUGUUCCUG